RNAcentral lists this ribosomal RNA (648 nucleotides) under Salmonella enterica subsp. enterica serovar Agama. RNAcentral describes it as "partial 23S ribosomal RNA". It matches the Rfam family "Bacterial large subunit ribosomal RNA", at positions 1 to 665 of the family's 2925-position model. The record is from RNAcentral. Lineage: Bacteria; Pseudomonadati; Pseudomonadota; Gammaproteobacteria; Enterobacterales; Enterobacteriaceae.
GGGUUGUGAGGUUAAGCGACUAAGCGUACACGGUGGAUGCCCUGGCAGUCAGAGGCGAUGAAGGACGUGCUAAUCUGCGAUAAGCGCCGGUAAGGUGAUAUGAACCGUUAUAACCGGCGAUUUCCGAAUGGGGAAACCCAGUGUGAUUCGUCACACUAUCAUUAACUGAAUCCAUAGGUUAAUGAGGCGAACCGGGGGAACUGAAACAUCUAAGUACCCCGAGGAAAAGAAAUCAACCGAGAUUCCCCCAGUAGCGGCGAGCGAACGGGGAGGAGCCCAGAGCCUGAAUCAGCAUGUGUGUUAGUGGAAGCGUCUGGAAAGGCGCGCGAUACAGGGUGACAGCCCCGUACACAAAAGCGCAUGUGCUGUGAGCUCGAUGAGUAGGGCGGGACACGUGGUAUCCUGUCUGAAUAUGGGGGGACCAUCCUCCAAGGCUAAAUACUCCUGACUGACCGAUAGUGAACCAGUACCGUGAGGGAAAGGCGAAAAGAACCCCGGCGAGGGGAGUGAAAAAGAACCUGAAACCGUGUACGUACAAGCAGUGGGAGCCCCACCACUAAGCCAGUGGUGAACUCCACAUACGCAUCCUUUGCUGAGGAUACGGUUAACGGAGCGAAAGCGACGUUCAACCGCAAAAGAAGCAGAGGG